Pseudophryne corroboree (corroboree frog) is the source of this 187-nucleotide long non-coding RNA. RefSeq lists it as uncharacterized. Lineage: Eukaryota; Metazoa; Chordata; Amphibia; Anura; Myobatrachidae. The transcript has 3 exons. The record is from RefSeq and is a predicted model, not a curated record.
CAGCACACAGGACAGGACCCGAAACAUUCUAUCACAAAAACUAAGAGGAUCCACCUGCCGUCAGCACAGAGGACUCACCUGCCACAGCACAGAAUAGCUGCCAGCAAAAGAGGGAGAUAUCAGAACAAUAAAAGAAUGCCAGCUAAACCUAAAAGUGGUGCGCAAAAGCGCAAAGAAAUGAAGGAAG